RNAcentral lists this ribosomal RNA (539 nucleotides) under Klebsiella pneumoniae. RNAcentral's name for it is "partial 23S ribosomal RNA". It matches the Rfam family "Bacterial large subunit ribosomal RNA", at positions 2285 to 2823 of the family's 2925-position model. RNAcentral also lists the same sequence under 1 other name. Lineage: Bacteria; Pseudomonadati; Pseudomonadota; Gammaproteobacteria; Enterobacterales; Enterobacteriaceae. The record is from RNAcentral.
UCCUCCCAAAGCGUAACGGAGGAGCACGAAGGUUAGCUAAUCCUGGUCGGACAUCAGGAGGUUAGUGCAAUGGCAUAAGCUAGCUUGACUGCGAGCGUGACGGCGCGAGCAGGUGCGAAAGCAGGUCAUAGUGAUCCGGUGGUUCUGAAUGGAAGGGCCAUCGCUCAACGGAUAAAAGGUACUCCGGGGAUAACAGGCUGAUACCGCCCAAGAGUUCAUAUCGACGGCGGUGUUUGGCACCUCGAUGUCGGCUCAUCACAUCCUGGGGCUGAAGUAGGUCCCAAGGGUAUGGCUGUUCGCCAUUUAAAGUGGUACGCGAGCUGGGUUUAGAACGUCGUGAGACAGUUCGGUCCCUAUCUGCCGUGGGCGCUGGAGAAUUGAGGGGGGCUGCUCCUAGUACGAGAGGACCGGAGUGGACGCAUCACUGGUGUUCGGGUUGUCAUGCCAAUGGCACUGCCCGGUAGCUAAAUGCGGAAGAGAUAAGUGCUGAAAGCAUCUAAGCACGAAACUUGCCCCGAGAUGAGUUCUCCCUGAGACUU